This 422-nucleotide ribosomal RNA is filed under the name uncultured bacterium. Its description in RNAcentral is "partial 16S ribosomal RNA". It matches the Rfam family "Bacterial small subunit ribosomal RNA", at positions 360 to 774 of the family's 1533-position model. The record is from RNAcentral.
AAUCUUCCGCAAUGGACGAAAGUCUGACGCAGCAACGCCGCCUGAGUGAUGAAGGUUUUCGGAUCGUAAAACUCCUUUGCCAGGGAAGAACAAGUAUCGUAGUAACUGCCUGUACCUGGACUGUCCCCGACCAGAAAGCCACGGCUAUCUACGGGCCAGCAGCCGCGGUAAUACGUAGGUGGCAAGCGUUGUCCGGAAUUAUUGGGCGUAAAGCGCGCGCAGGCGGUAUUGUAAGUCUGAUGUGAAAGCCCCCGGCUCAACCGGGGGCGGUCAUUGGAAACUGGGAGACUUGAGUGCAGGAGAGAAGAGUGGAAUUCCACGUGUAGCGGUGAAAUGCGUAGAGAUGUGGAGGAACACCAGUGGCGAAGGCGACUCUUUGGUCUGCAACUGACGCUGAGGCGCGAAAGCGUGGGGAGCGAACA